RNAcentral lists this long non-coding RNA (742 nucleotides) under Sus scrofa (pig). RNAcentral's name for it is "lncRNA (ENSSSCG00015034055.1)". The record is from RNAcentral. Lineage: Eukaryota; Metazoa; Chordata; Mammalia; Artiodactyla; Suidae.
GCAACAUCGUGGUUCCUAUAGUCGGAUUCACUUCCUGCUGUGCCAUGAUGGGAACACCAAUGGCCAAGGUUUACAAGGGUGGACUUGCAAUAACCCCGAGUGACCAGAGAAGGUUGUGGGCUCUGCCCAAGCUACCUAUCAUCAGGGGAUCCCCUAGAGGAGACGGUCUGACCAUAGAAAAAAAAAAGAAAGAAAAGCAUGCAUGUUUGCACUCCUCUGAGUUAAAAUUAUUUAACUAACUGGUUAAAAUUACCAUUAUCUCCACUUCACAAAUUAGGAAAUGAAAGCUCUUGGAGUUCCUAUCAUGGCUCAGCAGAAACGAAUCUGACUAGCAUCCGUGAGGAUGCAGGUUCGAUCCCUGGCCCGCUCAGUGGGUUAAGGAUCUGGUGUUGUUGUGGCUGCGGUGUAGCUCUGAUUCAACCAAUAGCCUGGGAACCUCCAUAUGCUGUGAGUGUGGCCCUAAAAUAAAAACACAAAACAACCAAACAAACAAAAAAGGAAAUGAAAGCUCUAAAAGAGUCAGAAACUCGCCAAACUUAUAAAGCACAGAGAAGGCUCGAACCCAGAGUCAACCUUGCAGCCCAUGCCUUUUACAGACUUACCAGGAGUUUUCAAAUGGGGCCCAAAGACACAUCAUCCCCAGGAAUAUACAAUCUGCUUCAGUUUUUUUUUUUUUUUUUUAAUACUGAAUUUUUAUCUCAAGGGUGAUCUUAAAAUAAAUAUGUAAGUAUAGUCUUGAUCA